UUGUUCUUUGACCUUACUGUUCAUUUUUAACCGGGCUGAUACCAUUUUAACAUUAACAAAGCAUUUUUUUAUACCAGGUUCAAGAAUAUGAUUGCCGAACAGGCCAUGAAAGAGAGGCAGGUGACCAGAGAGGGAGAAGCACAGAUGAGGAGAGAGAGAGAGGAGGUGACAGAGGAAGUCCAGGUGAUGGAGGAUCAUCAGGUGACCAAAGAGAGGGAGAGAGAGCACAGGGAAAGGCAGCACAGGAGGCACAAAUGACCAGGUAACAUACCUUAGCCCUUGUACUGUGUUAGCUUUCUCUAUACAUGCUCCACGCCAGAAUAGAGGUGCAAGCUGCACUCCAGUGUGCCACCCUGUAUUGUGUGAUGUAUUGAGUGUUGCCAUGAAUUGUGCAUAAGACAUUUUCUGUUUGUACUUUAGUUGUGUCAAUACAGUGAUGCAAUUGAUUAA
Acanthochromis polyacanthus (spiny chromis) is the source of this 450-nucleotide long non-coding RNA. RefSeq lists it as uncharacterized. NCBI's taxonomy places the organism in Eukaryota, Metazoa, Chordata, Actinopteri, Pomacentridae. The record is from RefSeq and is a predicted model, not a curated record. The transcript has 2 exons.